RNAcentral lists this unclassified non-coding RNA (419 nucleotides) under Hevea brasiliensis (rubber tree). The record is from RNAcentral. Lineage: Eukaryota; Viridiplantae; Streptophyta; Magnoliopsida; Malpighiales; Euphorbiaceae.
CGCUUACAAAUAGAGAGAGUGCUCUGUAAUCCCACUCUUCAUUCUUCUCUAACACCGUUUUCUUGAUACUAAUCUCUAAAUUUCUCUUCUUUUAAACCACCAUGAAAAAGCUUAGAGGUUUCAGGCUUGGGCGCAGGCUUGUCAGAGUCUUCAAAUGGAUAAUCCGAUCCAGGAGAAAACCUACCGCCCGUUCCUCCUUCUUGGACCAACCAACUCGCUCCCUCAAUCCUUUCUCCAAAAUCUUGGCCUUAGCUCGUAACUUAAGAGAUAGAGCUUCUCCUUCUGCAAACUCAAAUCGGGGGUAUAUCCGGCUGGGUCAGGCGAAACCGACGGAGGUGCCCAAGGGACACUUGGCGGUCUACGUGGGAGAAUCAAAUGGUGACACGAGGAGGGAGGUGGUGCCUGUGAUAUACUUCAAU